This 329-nucleotide ribosomal RNA is filed under the name uncultured eukaryote. Its description in RNAcentral is "partial 18S ribosomal RNA". It matches the Rfam family "Eukaryotic small subunit ribosomal RNA", at positions 1470 to 1796 of the family's 1831-position model. The record is from RNAcentral.
CCCUUAGAUGUUCUGGGCCGCACGCGCGCUACACUGAUGCAUUCAACGAGUCUACAACCUGGUCUGAUAGGGCUGGGUAAUCUUUUGAAUGUGCAUCGUGAUUGGGAUAGAUGAUUGCAAUUCUUCAUCUUCAACGAGGAAUGCCUAGUAAACGCAAGUCAUCAGCUUGCAUUGAUUACGUCCCUGCCCUUUGUACACACCGCCCGUCGCUGCCCGGAACUGAGCCGUUUCGAGAAGACUGAGGAUUGCUGACUUGAGGCCUUCACGGGCUUCUAGUCGGUGAAAAUCAAUUUAAUCGCAGCGGCUUGAACCGGGCAAAAGUCGUAACA